UCUGUUUUAUCCUAGGGAAUUAUUCUCAGUUAAUUUUUGCUGCAUGAUAAAUUACCCCAAAAAUUUGAGGCAUAAAGAAAGAACUACUUAAUUUAUGAUUUGGUAGAUUAGUAAUUUGGGGUGGGCUCCGGGGAGCAGUUCUUUUGGUUGUUUGAGUUGAGCUCACUCAUGACUCUGGAAGUCAAUUGCCAGUCUGAAGGGGAUAGAGUUUCUGGGGCUUGCCUGGCUGUCAGGAGGAGCAGUUCUGCUCUUCUCCCUGUGGUCUCUGGUCCUUUAGCUGACUACCCCAUGCAGGUUCAGUCACAUGGCAUGUUCCAAGUGAAGCAAGAAUUGAAGCUGCAAGACCUCAUGGGGCUUGGCUCAGAACUGGCAUAACAUCAAUUUCUCCAUAUUCAUUUGUCAGAACAAGACAGAAAGCCAGCUGCAAUUAAAGAGGACAGGGACUUCUGAGGGGGUCACCUCCGCCCAGGACUGUGACAAAAUCCCAGUUACUAUGAUCAAAAGGUCACCUGAAAUUCAUGCCAAGGGAAGACGUCUUCAGAGCAUAAGUUUCAACUUAAAAAGAGGAUAAAUGACAUGCUUGAGAAGUAGCGAUAAAUACAGAAAAUCCAGUGUAGGACUCAUGGACAUUGAAAGAUGCCGAAGCCACUUGCUACAAAGGACAUUCUUUCUGAGGACUACAUAGAAUAGCGCUGUCUUGAAUGGACGUGAUUGGAUACUUUGGGAGCAAGAAGGAAGACUUCACUGUGCUAAACACUGAGCUAAAACGAUUGUUUGUAACAAAAGAUAGUCUACCUUGACUGAUACAGUAUAUCACAAAUAUUUUCUCCCUGAUUAUCUUUUAACUUUAUGAUGCCCUAAUAAAAAUGUUACUUUUACUGUGUUAAAUCUGCGAGUUUAUUCCUUUAUUUCUUAUAGCUUUGUCUUCCUGAGAAAGGUUUUCUCCACCCGCAUCUCCAGGGAUCAGUAUGGACUUGAUACUUUGAAAUUCCUCAGUGAUACACCUCUUGGGCAAACAAGCAGUCUUCCUUGGGGAAACAAGCAGUCUUCAGUGUUUUCGAUACAAGGCUGAUUUAACCAAGCCAAUAAACGGCCUAGGACUCACUAUGACUUUCUAGACCUCAGAUUGCA
This 1131-nucleotide long non-coding RNA is filed under the name Equus asinus (donkey). Its description in RNAcentral is "lncRNA (ENSEASG00005034713.1)". The record is from RNAcentral. Lineage: Eukaryota; Metazoa; Chordata; Mammalia; Perissodactyla; Equidae.